GCCGGGUGAGGUGGCGCGUGCCUGUAGUCCCAGCUACUCAGGAGGCUGAGGCUGGAGGAUCUCGAGUCCAGGAGUUCUGGGCCGUAGUGAGCUAUGCCGAUCGGGUGUCCGCACUAAGUUCGGCAUCAGUAUGGUGAACUCCGGGGAGCGGGGGACCACCAGGUUGCCUAAGGAGGGGUGAACCGGCCCAGGUCGGAAACAGAGCAGGUCAAAACUUCCGUGCUGAUCAGUAGUGGGAUUGCACCUGUAAAUAGCCACUGCACUCCAGCCUGGGCAACUCCAUAGCAAGACCCUGUCUCU
RNAcentral lists this signal recognition particle RNA (300 nucleotides) under Aotus nancymaae (Ma's night monkey). RNAcentral describes it as "Metazoan signal recognition particle RNA (ENSANAG00000011693.1)". It matches the Rfam family "Metazoan signal recognition particle RNA". From Rfam's summary of the family: The signal recognition particle (SRP) is a universally conserved ribonucleoprotein. It is involved in the co-translational targeting of proteins to membranes. The eukaryotic SRP consists of a 300-nucleotide 7S RNA and six proteins: SRPs 72, 68, 54, 19, 14, and 9. The record is from RNAcentral. Lineage: Eukaryota; Metazoa; Chordata; Mammalia; Primates; Aotidae.